UUCUUUUUUUAUUCCUAAUAAUUAUAUUUCUGUAAUAAAUAAAUAAAAAUGAUUUAGGGUUUGGAUCCUAAUUGAUAUUUUCUCUCUCUCGACAUAAUAUAAAUUGUUGUCGGCACUAUUAUAGUAUUGGGGUUAAAGUCUAAAUAGUUUUAGUAUUUAGUUUUGUACCGUAUUUAAGUACUUUUAGUAAGUGGUUACCUAUUAUUUAGGGGAUAACGUGGGUCAGUUAUAUUAGAUUAGGGUUAUAUUAUAAGAGAUCGAAUAUUGAGAGCAGGGCGUUGGGAGAGCCGCAACAGCCGUGUAAAGGUUCUUGAGGCGUCCUUUGAUAAUCUUGCUUUCAAUCUCAGUUGCGGUAUGUAUUCACGUUCUUCUUCAUUUUGGUUCCAUUAAGUUGAAGUAUUACCUCUUGAUAGGAAGUGUCAGAAUCCUUGGUAACACAUUUUUUUUCUUAGUGUCUAAUUUACCCGGAUGCAGUUUGAGAGAGAGAGAGAUGUGCGAUGUGUGUGGCGAUGUGGUGGUUUGUGUGUGCUGUGAAUGAUGACUUUGGUAUGAGUUUCAUUUUAAAUGUUGUCAUCAGUGGGGUUUUGGCCGUAUAUGGUUCUUGCCAUGGGGUUGUUGAUGCCAUGCCAAUGAAUGACAAUGGCUAUGGAUGUGCUCAGUAUAUUGGGAACGAGAUUGUAGUUGAUUAUUGGAAGGUGAAGUUAUUAGUUUUGGAACAGGUGUCUAGCCCUUUCGUUGAGGAAAACAAAUUAUUGAGUUUGGAGUUAAGUGGGGUUUAUAGCUUUAGGUUUCAUCUUAUUAGGUAGUCGUAUAUUAGAUAUGUUGAUACAGUUAGCGAUAAUAAUGUUAUAUGAUUCUCUUUGUUCAGGUUAGCAUCUUUUUGCGUACUCGAGUUGCAUUAUAUUUGGACCCAGGCAUGUUGGGGAGUUAGGAAAGGAUUUUGGCGGCAUCUCGGGGAUUUUCUUUUGUUGACCUCCUUAGGGUGUCUCAUUCUAGUUUUAUUUUAAAAAUUGCUUCCGCAUUUGAAACAAUUGUUAGAUAACAAAUUCUUUUAAUUAUUGUUGGAUUAUUAGAUAUUGUUUGGUUCAUGCGAUGGUUGUGCCCCAUGUUUAUGAUGAGCAUAUUUGGCUUUUGAUUUGAUUAAUAAUGAAAAAGCGAUCAUUUGAUUUUCGGUUACUUU
Long non-coding RNA from Rhododendron vialii, 1180 nucleotides. RefSeq lists it as uncharacterized. The transcript is spliced from 2 exons. Lineage: Eukaryota; Viridiplantae; Streptophyta; Magnoliopsida; Ericales; Ericaceae. The record is from RefSeq and is a predicted model, not a curated record.